This 468-nucleotide ribosomal RNA is filed under the name uncultured bacterium. Its description in RNAcentral is "partial 16S ribosomal RNA". It matches the Rfam family "Bacterial small subunit ribosomal RNA", at positions 28 to 507 of the family's 1533-position model. The record is from RNAcentral.
GACGAACGCUGGCGGCGUGCUUAACACAUGCAAGUCGAACGGAAAGGCCCUGCUUUUGUGGGGUGCUCGAGUGGCGAACGGGUGAGUAACACGUGAGUAACCUGCCCUUGACUUUGGGAUAACUUCAGGAAACUGGGGCUAAUACCGGAUAGGAGCUCCUGCUGCAUGGUGGGGGUUGGAAAGUUUCGGCGGUUGGGGAUGGACUCGCGGCUUAUCAGCUUGUUGGUGGGGUAGUGGCUUACCAAGGCUUUGACGGGUAGCCGGCCUGAGAGGGUGACCGGCCACAUUGAGACUGAGAUACGGCCCAGACUGCUACGGGAGGCAGCAGUGGGGAAUAUUGCACAAUGGGCGGAAGCCUGAUGCAGCAACGCCGCGUGCGGGAUGACGGCCUUCGGGUUGUAGACCGCUUUCGCCUGUGACGAAGCGUGAGUGACGGUAAUGGGUAAAGAAGCACCGGCUAACUACGUG